GCAGCAGUGGGGAAUAUUGCACAAUGGGCGCAAGCCUGAUGCAGCGACGCCGCGUGGGGGAUGACGGCCUUCGGGUUGUAAACUCCUUUCGCUAGGGACGAAGCUUUUUGUGACGGUACCUAGAUAAGAAGCACCGGCUAACUACGUGCCAGCGGCCGCGGUAAUACGUAGGGUGCGAGCGUUGUCCGGAAUUACUGGGCGUAAAGGGCUCGUAGGUGGUUUGUCGCGUCGUCUGUGAAAUUCCGGGGCUUAACUCCGGGCGUGCAGGCGAUACGGGCAUAACUUGAGUACUGUAGGGGUAACUGGAAUUCCUGGUGUAGCGGUGAAAUGCGCAGAUAUCAGGAGGAACACCGAUGGCGAAGGCAGGUUACUGGGCAGUUACUGACGCUGAGGAGCGAAAGCAUGGGUAGCGAACAGGAUUAGAUACCCUGGUAGUCCAUGCCGUAAACGGUGGGCGCUAGGUGUGAGGGUCUUUUCACGACUUUCGUGCCGUAGCUAACGCAUUAAGCGCCCCGCCUGGGGAGUACGGCCGCAAGGCUAAAACUCAAAGGAAUUGACGGGGGCCCGCACAAGCGGCGGAGCAUGUGGAUUAAUUCGAUGCAACGCGAAGAACCUUACCUGGGCUUGACAUACACCGGAUCGGGCUAGAGAUAGUCUUUCCCUUUGUGGCUGGUGUACAGGUGGUGCAUGGUUGUCGUCAGCUCGUGUCGUGAGAUGUUGGGUUAAGUCCCGCAACGAGCGCAACCCUUGUCUUAUGUUGCCAGCAUUUGGUUGGGGACUCAUGAGAGACUGCCGGGGUCAACUCGGAGGAAGGUGGGGAUGACGUCAAAUCAUCAUGCCCCUUAUGUCCAGGGCUUCACACAUGCUACAAUGGUCGGUACAACGCGCAGCGACACUGUGAGGUGGAGCGAAUCGCUGAAAGCCGGCCUUAGUUCGGAUUGGGGUCUGCAACUCGACCCCAUGAAGUCGGAGUCGCUAGUAAUCGCAGAUCAGCAACGCUGCGGUGAAUACGUUCCCGGGCCU
Molecule: ribosomal RNA, 1023 nt
Filed under: uncultured bacterium
Lineage: Bacteria
Description: bacterial SSU rRNA
Rfam family: Bacterial small subunit ribosomal RNA
Source: RNAcentral